UACAGAGGGUGCGAGCGUUAAUCGGAAUUACUGGGCGUAAAGUGUGCGCAGGUGGCCGCGCAAGUCGAGUGUGAAAUCCCCGGGCUUAACUUGGGAAUUGCGCUCGAAACUACGUGGCUCGAGUAUGGCAGAGGAAGGUGGAAUUCCACGUGUAGCGGUGAAAUGCGUAGAGAUGUGGAGGAACACCGAUGGCGAAGGCAGCCUUCUGGGCCAAUACUGACGCUCAUGCACGAAAGCGUGGGGAGCAAACAGG
RNAcentral lists this ribosomal RNA (253 nucleotides) under uncultured bacterium. RNAcentral describes it as "partial 16S ribosomal RNA". It matches the Rfam family "Bacterial small subunit ribosomal RNA", at positions 524 to 776 of the family's 1533-position model. The record is from RNAcentral.